Molecule: transfer RNA, 73 nt
Filed under: Pteropus alecto (black flying fox)
Lineage: Eukaryota; Metazoa; Chordata; Mammalia; Chiroptera; Pteropodidae
Rfam family: tRNA
About the family: Transfer RNA (tRNA) molecules are approximately 80 nucleotides in length.
Source: Rfam by way of RNAcentral
GGUUCCAUAGUGUAGCCGUUAGCUCAUCUGCUUUACAUGCAGAAGGUCCUGGGUUCACAUAUCAGUGGAGCCA